UUUCCAGAGAUGGAUUGGUGCCUUCGGGAACUCUGACACAGGUGCUGCAUGGCUGUCGUCAGCUCGUGUCGUGAGAUGUUGGGUUAAGUCCCGUAACGAGCGCAACCCUUGUCCUUAGUUACCAGCACGUUAUGGUGGGCACUCUAAGGAGACUGCCGGUGACAAACCGGAGGAAGGUGGGGAUGACGUCAAGUCCUCAUGGCCUUUAUGACCAGGGCUACACACGUACUACAAUGGCCGAUACAAAGGGCAGCGACACUGCGAGGUGAAGCCAAUCCCGUAAAAAUCGGUCUCAGUCCGGAUUGGAGUCUGCAACUCGACUCCAUGAAGUUGGAAUCGCUAGUAAUCGUGGAUCAGCAUGCCACGGUGAAUACGUUCCCGGGCCUU
RNAcentral lists this ribosomal RNA (387 nucleotides) under uncultured Bacillus sp. RNAcentral describes it as "bacterial SSU rRNA". It matches the Rfam family "Bacterial small subunit ribosomal RNA", at positions 997 to 1382 of the family's 1533-position model. The record is from RNAcentral. Lineage: Bacteria; Bacillati; Bacillota; Bacilli; Caryophanales; Bacillaceae.